GAAUGCCUACGGGAGGCAGCAGUGAGGAAUAUUGGUCAAUGGUCGGGAGACUGAACCAGCCACGCCGCGUGAGGGAUGAAGGUACAGAGUAUCGUAAACCUCUUUUGUCAGGGAACAAAGGCGGGGCCGUGUCCCCGGAUGAGUGUACCUGAAGAAAAAGCAUCGGCUAACUCCGUGCCAGCAGCCGCGGUAAUACGGAGGAUUCGAGCGUUAUCCGGAUUUAUUGGGUUUAAAGGGUGCGCAUGCGGUCUGUUAAGUCAGCGGUAAAAUUUCGGGG
This 277-nucleotide ribosomal RNA is filed under the name uncultured bacterium. RNAcentral's name for it is "partial 16S ribosomal RNA". It matches the Rfam family "Bacterial small subunit ribosomal RNA", at positions 333 to 607 of the family's 1533-position model. The record is from RNAcentral.